RNAcentral lists this long non-coding RNA (2159 nucleotides) under Salmo salar (Atlantic salmon). RNAcentral describes it as "lncRNA (ENSSSAG00000084707.1)". Lineage: Eukaryota; Metazoa; Chordata; Actinopteri; Salmoniformes; Salmonidae. The record is from RNAcentral.
CAGGGGAUCUCUGCUGUUACGUGACACUUCCUACGGCACCCAUGGGCUCUCAGAAGGCGGCAAAAAGCUGAAUCGUGGCUUUGCAGGCCCUGGUUGAAAAACAUCAGCGCGUUUGGAUAGUGGCCGGUCACAGUACUAUGAGACUCAGGCUCGUGCACGAGGGGAUCCCAUGCUUUUAUUUUCUCUCUCUUUGUAUGUAAACACGCAUUCCCGGUCGGAACAUUAUCGCUUUUUUACGAGAAAAAUGGCAUAAAAAUGUAUUUUAAACAGCGGUUGACAUGCUUCGAAGUACGGUAAUGGAAUAUUUACAAAUUUUUUGUCACGAAAUGCGUCGUGCGCAUGACCCUUAUUUACACUUCGGAUAGUGUCUUGAACGCACGAAAAAAACGCCGCUAUUUGGAUAUAACUAUGGAUUAUUUUGAAGCAAACCAACAUUUGUUAUUGAAGUAGCAGUCCUGGGAGUGCAUUCUGACGAAGAACACCAAAGAGAACCCUGAAUCUGAGGACCCCUUGCCCACCGACGAAGUCCCAGGUCCCUCUGAAGAUGCUGGUGGUGAUGGAGUCAGACGAACAGUGGGUGAAGUGCAGGAGGUCUGCAGUAGCUGGAAGGCCUCCAGCCAUUUCACCCUUCCUGGCCCUGCUGUUGGCUUUAAUGAGUCCCAGUCUAGAGUACAAAGCCUCUUGCCUUCUCCCGCUGAGGCAGAGUGCAUCAAACCGUUUCUGGCAGAGGAGCUGGUGGGAGACAUAGUGGAGGAGACCAAUCGCAGUGCCAUGGAGCUAAAGGAGAAGCGAGAGCCAUGGGGAAGGUAGACCACCAGAUGGGAGAGAGAAAGAUCAAACCAGACUGUGUGCUUGACCUUAAUCACAAAAUGGGGGCAGGUGGACAUGAUUAACAGCUUUGUGGAAUACGCUCGGAAAACCAGCUAGUGGUAUAAGAAGAUAUUUUUUCCAUCUGAUUGACACUGCUGCCUUUAAAUGGCCACAUUACUGUACAAGUUUUUUUGCAAUUGGAAAUACAGUUCACAUACAAAAAGCAUAGAGUUACAUUUGCUAAAUCUCUCACCUACCUCCCUACCCCCUCAUCAUCCUCUCCACUACCUCUCCCCCAUUGGUGAGAUGAUUACCUACCAAAAGUACAGAGAGAUCCUCAUGAGAGAGCUGCUGGAUGAGCACCACACCCCUCGGUGUCCAUCUCCUGGCGGCUGUCCUGCUGCAGACAAUCCUCUGCACUGCAUUUUCCCUAUGAAGUUGGGGGAGGGGGUGUUUAGGCAGUUUAAUUGGAGAUGCUCAAAUGUCUGCUUAAUUGACCUGGGGAAACACUGGGGGAGUGCUUGGGCUCUCAAAGAGUGAAGUUUGUCCGGCUCAUCUAAUCCUCGCCUUCAAUUAGCAUAGCACGAUUCAAACAUAAAUUGUCCGCCAAAGGAAAAUAGGCUAGUUCUAUUUGAAUUAAUGAGGAGGCGGAACGCAGCUCAUUUCAAACUGUUAUUAAAACAUAAAACUGUUAGAUUUUUUUAUUUUUUGUUGACAAGUUGAAACAGUUUAUAGAUAACAAGCAGGCAGUGCUAUGGUUUGAGAGCAGGCGGGUUAACUGUCCUGUUACCUAACAAUCACAUUUUGGAAUAGUAAUCCACAGGUUUUAUGCGACUAGUCAUACGAUAUAAAAUCCAAAUCAUGACAGCUGUGAUGAAAACAGGAUGUUUCGCUCCAAUUUUAUAAAUUCCGACAGAUCAUUUGUUUGUUCGACAUGGUGGGAUGUUUUUGUGUCUGUCAAAUUAAUUAUGCAAGAAAGGGAAGUGGAAACGCCUUUAUGCUAAAAUAUUGAUAUAGUAACCAUCAUAUCGACGUAAACUUGGAAUCACACAAUGAUAUGGUGUGUGGUCCUCCCACUAUGACUUUGGAAACCAUUAAGUUUAAUAGGCUACAGAUUAAAUAAGCUAUGAUGAACUUCACAGGGUGGUGAAAGUGAACGAUGAGGUUGAUGCUCCAUUCCAAUAAAUAUUGAGGGUCUUAUUUUGGUGACAUGCUUAAAAAACAGAAAUACCUUAUUUAUACCUUAGGGCGGCAGGUAGCCUAGUGGUUAGAGCGUUGGACUGGUAACCGAAAGGUCGAAUCCCUGAGCUGACAAGGUAAAAAUCUGUAGUUCUGCCCCUGAACAAGGC